AUGAAACUGAUCGGUUGGAACUGCUGGGGUUUGGGAAAUGGCCCAGCAGUCCGUAGCCUCCUCGAGCUGGGGAGGGUAGAGGAGCCCGAUGUUAUUUUUCUUGCGGAGACGAAGUUGUCCGAGAAGGAGUUGGGGUGGUUUAGGUGGAUGUUAGGGAUGGCGCAUAUGACUGCGUGGAGUUCGUAA
RNAcentral lists this ribosomal RNA (186 nucleotides) under Triticum aestivum (bread wheat). RNAcentral's name for it is "partial small subunit ribosomal RNA". The record is from RNAcentral. Lineage: Eukaryota; Viridiplantae; Streptophyta; Magnoliopsida; Poales; Poaceae.